CUGCAGUCGACGGUAACAGGAAGCAGCUUGCUGCUUCGCUGACGAGUGGCGGACGGGUGAGUAAUGUCUGGGAAACUGCCUGAUGGAGGGGGAUAACUACUGGAAACGGUAGCUAAUACCGCAUAACGUCGCAAGACCAAAGAGGGGGACCUUCGGGCCUCUUGCCAUCAGAUGUGCCCAGAUGGGAUUAGCUAGUAGGUGGGGUAACGGCUCACCUAGGCGACGAUCCCUAGCUGGUCUGAGAGGAUGACCAGCCACACUGGAACUGAGACACGGUCCAGACUCCUACGGGAGGCAGCAGUGGGGAAUAUUGCACAAUGGGCGCAAGCCUGAUGCAGCCAUGCCGCGUGUAUGAAGAAGGCCUUCGGGUUGUAAAGUACUUUCAGCGGGGAGGAAGGCGAUACGGUUAAUAACCGCGUCGAUUGACGUUACCCGCAGAAGAAGCACCGGCUAACUCCGUGCCAGCAGCCGCGGUAAUACGGAGGGUGCAAGCGUUAAUCGGAAUUACUGGGCGUAAAGCGCACGCAGGCGGUCUGUCAAGUCGGAUGUGAAAUCCCCGGGCUCAACCUGGGAACUGCAUCCGAAACUGGCAGGCUUGAGUCUCGUAGAGGGGGGUAGAAUUCCAGGUGUAGCGGUGAAAUGCGUAGAGAUCUGGAGGAAUACCGGUGGCGAAGGCGGCCCCCUGGACGAAGACUGACGCUCAGGUGCGAAAGCGUGGGGAGCAAACAGGAUUAG
Molecule: ribosomal RNA, 735 nt
Filed under: Enterobacter cloacae
Lineage: Bacteria; Pseudomonadati; Pseudomonadota; Gammaproteobacteria; Enterobacterales; Enterobacteriaceae
Description: bacterial SSU rRNA
Rfam family: Bacterial small subunit ribosomal RNA
Source: RNAcentral